This 458-nucleotide long non-coding RNA is filed under the name Salvia miltiorrhiza (redroot sage). RNAcentral describes it as "long non-coding RNA (SMIL_LNC001364)". Lineage: Eukaryota; Viridiplantae; Streptophyta; Magnoliopsida; Lamiales; Lamiaceae. The record is from RNAcentral.
GGAGAGAUUCAAGAAAGAUCCACUAAAUAAAAGAAGAACGGAGAACCAUUUUCGGCCAUUUGAUCAUCAAGAUCUACGGUGGAUGCAUCAUCUUGUUGGAUGAAUGUAGAUCCUAGGUUCGAAUCCAGAAGGGAGUAAUUUUUUUUUUAUUUUUUUAGUGCAUUAAUUUUAACAGGGAAUGCAUUAAUUUUUAUAAUGAAUCCACUAGAUUUGAUGGUUCUCACGUUCUCACAAAUAAUAUAGUUCUCUCUAGAACCACACCACAUAUAUAUAUAUAUAUAUGUGUGUGUGUGUGUGUGUGUGUGUGUGUGUAGAUUAGAUAAGAUCAACGACUGAGAUUUGUUACCUGUUCUUUGAAUAUUUAGUGUUCUCCAUUGAACUCUUCCAUAUAGGGCUGUAAAUUCGGGUUGCGGGUAUCGGGCAUACCCUCACCCGUCCCGAUAACCGCGCGGGUAUCG